UGAUGACGUUCUCCGGAAUCGCUGUACUGCUUUGAUGAAAGCACAUUUGAGCCCUUUUCCGGCUGAUGACUGAGCGUUUUGUC
Choloepus didactylus (southern two-toed sloth) is the source of this 83-nucleotide small nucleolar RNA. RefSeq annotates it as small nucleolar RNA MBII-202. Lineage: Eukaryota; Metazoa; Chordata; Mammalia; Pilosa; Megalonychidae. The transcript has a single exon. The record is from RefSeq and is a predicted model, not a curated record.